CAGAGGGUGAUCUGGCUGCCACAUCUGCUACCAUUGAUCGCCAGGGUUGAUUGGUUCAUCUGGCUGGCUAGGCGGGUGUCCCCUUCCUCCCUCCCUCACUGCUCCCUCCCGAAGCUGCGUGCUCAGUAGAAGAGGAUGGCCUUCCCCAAAUAGAGGAGGACCUGUCUUGGGUCAAGGGUAUACAAGUAACUGCAUUCUCCUGCAGAACCUCCAAACAAGCUCUCAAAGUCUCUGUUCAUAAGGGCUGUGCGAUUCACUCUUUAAUUUAGCAUGGAUUCACUCAGGACCUAGUGUU
Molecule: non-coding RNA, 295 nt
Organism: Mesocricetus auratus (golden hamster)
Lineage: Eukaryota; Metazoa; Chordata; Mammalia; Rodentia; Cricetidae
Source: Rfam